UAAUACGUAGGGUGCAAGCGUUGUCCGGAUUUAUUGGGCGUAAAGAGCUCGUAGGUGGCCUGCCGCGUCGGAUGUGAAAACCCGGGGCUCAACCCCGGGCCUGCAUUCGAUACGGGCAGGCUAGAGGAUGGCAGGGGAAACUGGAAUUCCUGGUGUAGCGGUGAAAUGCGCAGAUAUCAGGAGGAACACCGGUGGCGAAGGCGGGUUUCUGGGCCAUUCCUGACACUGAGGAGCGAAAGCGUGGGGAGCAAACAGG
RNAcentral lists this ribosomal RNA (256 nucleotides) under uncultured bacterium. RNAcentral's name for it is "partial 16S ribosomal RNA". It matches the Rfam family "Bacterial small subunit ribosomal RNA", at positions 521 to 776 of the family's 1533-position model. The record is from RNAcentral.